CGGUGUGUAGCUCAGUUUGGUAGAGUGUAUCGUUCGGGGCGAUAAAGUCGGCGGGUUCGAAUCCUCCCACACCGACCA
Molecule: transfer RNA, 78 nt
Filed under: Salmonella enterica subsp. enterica serovar Infantis
Lineage: Bacteria; Pseudomonadati; Pseudomonadota; Gammaproteobacteria; Enterobacterales; Enterobacteriaceae
Also listed under: 3 other names
Description: tRNA-Pro
Rfam family: tRNA
About the family: Transfer RNA (tRNA) molecules are approximately 80 nucleotides in length. Their secondary structure includes four short double-helical elements and three loops (D, anti-codon, and T loops).
Source: RNAcentral